CUAAACUCUCAACCAGGGCAAAGGAAAUAAAGGACGUCAAAAACGACAAAGGAAACGUUUGGAAGAUCAAGACAACAUGGAAGACGAGGUUGAGGAAGCAUCAUCUGACGACGAGGAAUAUGAAUAUGAGGACGAGGUGCCCACGGAAGAGCCUUUUCCCUCUCGAGAGGAGAAGGGCGAAGGGGAGGAGCUAAAAUACUCAGCAACAACAGCUAUAUACACACAAGAAAAUGAGGGUGAAACAACUUCUCCGAUUACGCAGUCUUUAGAGGAGAUUACAAUGAUGGUUUACACAACAACAGCGAGUCCCCUGCUUUCAUCAAAAUUCACAGAGCAGAAGCCGCCUGAAACCACGUUAUUAUCAGUGCUAAAUACAACACAAACUGGAGAAGAGGAGCUCCCCUAAACUCUGUAAGAGAGACAUUCAAGUGUGUAGAAACUGUGAAGGGUAAAAGAGGGGGAGGAUCUGACUGGCCGGCAUUACUUUGGGAGAGCCUCCUUUCCCAUCACACAAUGAUGAUGUCAUUCGUCCAUGCUGCCUCCACCACGACUAGCGUUCAGUAUGCUCCAGUGCCUUUGAUAGAUUGAGAAGAACCACCGGCACUCUCUGAGGAGAGACCAGCCCGGUAAAAACAUAAAGAACAGAUCUUGUAAUGUGCUGUCUUUACACUUACUGAACAAAUGCAAGCUAAAUCAUCUAUAAUCCAUGUAGAAGUGACAGCACAAAACACUAAUGAAUGAAGUUGUUUUAAUAGAAAAUCAAAUAAAUUACCCUGACAGCUCAUUCAACAUCGAUUUGUUCAUCAGUUCCUUAUUUAUUGAUAAGACUGAAAAAAGAUUGUAUUUUGGUUGUCUGCAUAUUUAGUUUUUCAUUUGCGGUAACAUGUUGUGCUACCUGUUUUCACUGGUGAAAUUCAAUGGCAUAUUGCUUUUCUUUCAUAUUUAAUCUGUUUGUGCAUGUCUGUCAGUAAAUGUGUUCUUCCUAAACCAGUCUUAA
This 997-nucleotide long non-coding RNA is filed under the name Sinocyclocheilus anshuiensis. RNAcentral describes it as "lncRNA (ENSSANG00000004203.1)". The record is from RNAcentral. Lineage: Eukaryota; Metazoa; Chordata; Actinopteri; Cypriniformes; Cyprinidae.